UCGAACGAGUUCUCGUUGAUGAUCGGUGCUUGCACCGAGAUUCAACAUGGAACGAGUGGCGGACGGGUGAGUAACACGUGGGUAACCUGCCCUUAAGUGGGGGAUAACAUUUGGAAACAGAUGCUAAUACCGCAUAGAUCCAAGAACCGCAUGGUUCUUGGCUGAAAGAUGGCGUAAGCUAUCGCUUUUGGAUGGACCCGCGGCGUAUUAGCUAGUUGGUGAGGUAAUGGCUCACCAAGGCGAUGAUACGUAGCCGAACUGAGAGGUUAAUCGGCCACAUUGGGACUGAGACACGGCCCAAACUCCUACGGGAGGCAGCAGUAGGGAAUCUUCCACAAUGGACGCAAGUCUGAUGGAGCAACGCCGCGUGAGUGAAGAAGGCUUUCGGGUCGUAAAACUCUGUUGUUGGAGAAGAAUGGUCGGCAGAGUAACUGUUGUCGGCGUGACGGUAUCCAACCAGAAAGCCACGGCUAACUACGUGCCAGCAGCCGCGGUAAUACGUAGGUGGCAAGCGUUAUCCGGAUUUAUUGGGCGUAAAGCGAGCGCAGGCGGUUUUUUAAGUCUGAUGUGAAAGCCCUCGGCUUAACCGAGGAAGCGCAUCGGAAACUGGGAAACUUGAGUGCAGAAGAGGACAGUGGAACUCCAUGUGUAGCGGUGAAAUGCGUAGAUAUAUGGAAGAACACCAGUGGCGAAGGCGGCUGUCUGGUCUGUAACUGACGCUGAGGCUCGAAAGCAUGGGUAGCGAACAGGAUUAGAUACCCUGGUAGUCCAUGCCGUAAACGAUGAAUGCUAGGUGUUGGAGGGUUUCCGCCCUUCAGUGCCGCAGCUAACGCAUUAAGCAUUCCGCCUGGGGAGUACGACCGCAAGGUUGAAACUCAAAGGAAUUGACGGGGGCCCGCACAAGCGGUGGAGCAUGUGGUUUAAUUCGAAGCAACGCGAAGAACCUUACCAGGUCUUGACAUCUUUUGAU
RNAcentral lists this ribosomal RNA (970 nucleotides) under uncultured bacterium. RNAcentral's name for it is "bacterial SSU rRNA". It matches the Rfam family "Bacterial small subunit ribosomal RNA", at positions 62 to 995 of the family's 1533-position model. The record is from RNAcentral.